AGAAAUGCAGAGAUGUGGAAUAGUACAGUCCGUGAAAUGCAGAGAGAGCCGUUGGCCGGUGGAAAACGGAGAGGAAGCGGAUUGGAACUCGCCAUGGAGCAGCCCGCUGAUAUGUAGGUGGGGACGGAGGCUGACCGUUACAGCAGCAGGAUAUGUCAGUAUCCGUUAAAGUGCGUGCAGGGAUGCACGAAUAAGAGUGGUAACACGCAGGCCGGGCCUUCGUCUCUUGG
Molecule: non-coding RNA, 230 nt
Filed under: Schwartzia succinivorans
Lineage: Bacteria; Bacillati; Bacillota; Negativicutes; Selenomonadales; Selenomonadaceae
Description: T-box sequence
Rfam family: T-box leader
About the family: Uncharged tRNA acts as the effector for transcription antitermination of genes in the T-box leader family. T-boxes are found upstream of many aminoacyl-tRNA synthetase genes and some amino acid biosynthetic genes usually in Gram-positive bacteria. The anticodon of a specific tRNA base pairs to a specifier sequence within the T-box motif, and the NCCA acceptor tail of the tRNA base pairs to a conserved bulge in the T-box antiterminator hairpin.
Source: RNAcentral